Molecule: ribosomal RNA, 394 nt
Filed under: uncultured bacterium
Lineage: Bacteria
Description: bacterial SSU rRNA
Rfam family: Bacterial small subunit ribosomal RNA
Source: RNAcentral
AGUGAACGCUGGCGGCAGGCCUAACACAUGCAAGUCGAACGGCAGCACAGCAGUAGCAAUACUGUGGGUGGCGAGUGGCGGACGGGUGAGGAAUACAUCGGAAUCUGCCUAGUCGUGGGGGAUAACGUAGGGAAACUUACGCUAAUACCGCAUACGACCUACGGGUGAAAGCGGGGGAUCGCAAGACCUCGCGCGAUUAGAUGAGCCGAUGUCCGAUUAGCUAGUUGGCGGGGUAAUGGCCCACCAAGGCGACGAUCGGUAGCUGGUCUGAGAGGAUGAUCAGCCACACUGGAACUGAGACACGGUCCAGACUCCUACGGGAGGCAGCAGUGGGGAAUAUUGGACAAUGGGCGGCAAGCCUGAUCCAGCCAUGCCGCGUGGGUGAAGAAGGCCU